UACGUAGGGUCCGAGCGUUGUCCGGAAUUACUGGGCGUAAAGAGCUUGUAGGCGGUUUGUCGCGUCUGCCGUGAAAAUCCGGGGCUCAACCCCGGACUUGCGGUGGGUACGGGCAGACUAGAGUGUGGUAGGGGAGACUGGAAUUCCUGGUGUAGCGGUGAAAUGCGCAGAUAUCAGGAGGAACACCGAUGGCGAAGGCAGGUCUCUGGGCCACUACUGACGCUGAGAAGCGAAAGCGUGGGGAGCGAACAGG
This 253-nucleotide ribosomal RNA is filed under the name uncultured bacterium. RNAcentral's name for it is "partial 16S ribosomal RNA". It matches the Rfam family "Bacterial small subunit ribosomal RNA", at positions 524 to 776 of the family's 1533-position model. The record is from RNAcentral.